RNAcentral lists this long non-coding RNA (316 nucleotides) under Gossypium raimondii (Peruvian cotton). Its description in RNAcentral is "long non-coding RNA (GRAI_LNC009994)". The record is from RNAcentral. Lineage: Eukaryota; Viridiplantae; Streptophyta; Magnoliopsida; Malvales; Malvaceae.
CUAGAACACGCGGAUCUAUCGGUGUCUAGGUCGGGUCAUCGGUUUUGGUCCAAUACGGCACCAUUUUGAAGCCACUGAUCUGGCUCUAAACGGUGCCGUUUUGAAUGAUAUGAAAGUGGCUAAAAAAAACUAAAAUCCCUAAUACUUGACCACCUCCCUAAAACUAUCAGAAGAAAAGAUAAAGAAAAAAACAAAACACUCCCCAUUUUCUCUUGCGCCGCUCUCCAGCCCUAAAUCCCCAUUCACCCUUCAACUGUGACGAAGCGAUGAGGAUUCGACGGCACCAAUAACGUAAAUCUCUCGUCCUCUCCGCCGC